This is a long non-coding RNA of Lolium rigidum, 2113 nucleotides long. RefSeq lists it as uncharacterized. Lineage: Eukaryota; Viridiplantae; Streptophyta; Magnoliopsida; Poales; Poaceae. The record is from RefSeq and is a predicted model, not a curated record. The transcript is spliced from 10 exons.
AAACCCUAGACUUCAACGGAGGGGAAAAAACAUCCGCGCCGCCUCCCCGCUUGAAACCUUCCCGCGUCUCCUCCUCUCCCGCUCAGCCGCCGCCGCACACCGGCGCUGAGCAGCGCCACACUUCAUCGUCCCCGACUUCACUGUGGCCCCGCGCUUGCUCGUAGCUCUCCUCGCGGCCCAACGAGGCUGGGCGGAGAGGGAUGGCAUGGAGAAGAGGCACAACUUGCCCAUCAUGGUGGUGGCGGAGGAGUGGGAUGCCGCCAUGAUGGGCUGCUGCCAAGGGCACGGCGGCCACCAUGGUGGGUCCAGCCCUCCUCGCCGUCUCCGUCGUCCAUGCGUCUGCGGUUGACAACUGCGUCCAGGGAUGGUAAAUUGGUUAUGAUUAAAAGGAAAUAUAUGCCAUUUGACAGCAGAAAACACUAUGCUCAGCUAUUUAUGUCGUUGUAUAAGAACGGAUGACAAUGGGAUUUGAGGCCAGGGAAGAGGCUAGACGGAAACGCAUUCGGGCCAUUUGUGGCAUGCGGCCGAUGGAGUAGUUCUAGGCUAGGUGGUCGGUUGUGACUAUACAAGCGUCGUUGGGCGGGCACAUGAUGCGUUCUUUGGCGUCUCUUAUCUUCCCUCGAGUCUUCGAGGUGACGAGCCCAUAUUGGCAUUCUUAACCUCAUGGCAGCUAUAUCAGCUCCAUUGCAUGGUGGGUUAUCUAGACUUUGCUUUUUUAGAUGAUUGAUGAGAUUGUACAUCGCUCUCCAACUGUUCUGGCUGGUUUGCUGUUUGGGGAUGAGAAAGAGUCUAGUGACACAUUGCAAAGAAGGCUUUUCUCUGAAGCCUUUUCGAAUGAGGGCACUCAGCCAUUUCUACCCAUCAUUUGUCAAGGAGUCACUGAUGAAAUUGGCAAUUACACCAAGAUAGUGGUGCAUAAGAAGAUAGCUUUUGGGGGCAAUGGUUAUAGAACGCUUCUAGGCCAGAAGCAUCACAUUUAGACUUAGACACUCGUCGACAAUCCAAAAUUGACCCUGAACUGAUAUGCGCACUUGCUAAGCAAGUUGUCCAGGACCAGCUCCAGCUAUAGAUGAACAAGAAAUUGCAGGAGCUGAAGGGCGCCAACAAACCUUCAGACGUCGAAACUUAGUGUGCAAGGCCUUGGGAUGGUCAGGUAGUUGUGAACUAACGCCCUGCCAGCCUUGAUGCACACGGCACACAAAGGCAAAAAGAUUGGUGAAAUUUCCUUGGCUAAUAUAGUAUUAUUUUUCAAGCCUGGCAGGGUACAUUGGGUGAUUUAACCGUGGCGCGGUAGGCGGCCGUGCAGAUGUGCGGUGGGAUUGAGGUCGACGAUUGCUGCAGCGGCUGGCGGAAAACGGCGGCUGUAGCGGUUCGUUGCCUCGUCCUCUUCUCUCUCCCACCAGCCCAGCACCAUUCCCUCUCUCACACAUUCUUCCUGGUCUAUUUUUUGCACCUCGUGAGAAGGAGGGGGGCGGCUUCAGCGGAAGGACCAGGUGGAGUCUGGCGCGUAAGGGAGCAAGCUGGAAGGGCCGAUUGUUUUGGGGGUCUGGUUGUUGCUGUUCUAGGUUGACUACCACAUCAACUAAGUUGCGUCCUCCUGCAAAGUAUCAAGCGCCAUCAUGUCUCCCUCCCAUCAAGCACCACCAAGGCAGCAAGAUAUAGCUGAGAAGCUACCGCAAUACCGCAGAUGGAUUCUUGAAUUCACUAAAGAUAUUGGUUGUUCCUCCUCGCCCAAUUUAUCAAUAGGCUGGCAACUUCACUGAGAUACAUGACAAAUUAUCUCUGCUAUAGGUGUUUAGCUAUGAAAGGAGAUGAUUCCCCUGAAGGUGACAAGUUUUCGUAUUGGUUAUUCCUUGUUCUGCCUGGUGAUCCGCUAGGUUCUCUAGCCAUUCUCACUACCUGUGAAUUCAGGAUCAGGUUUGAGCAUACACAUAUCUAGAAGUCUAGGUAGUAGGCAAAGAGACUGAUGAUGAGCUUCUGAACUAGAGAGUGCAACAAGUGAAGAAUGAGAGGCUCUUUUAUCGAGAUUCAGUCUGAGCUGUUGAGCUGCCUGACGAAGCUGGAGAAGUUGUCGCGCGUGAAAGGUGGAGGGGUCCCGGACGACGAAGCUGCU